RNAcentral lists this long non-coding RNA (518 nucleotides) under Olea europaea (common olive). Its description in RNAcentral is "long non-coding RNA (OEUR_LNC003099)". The record is from RNAcentral. Lineage: Eukaryota; Viridiplantae; Streptophyta; Magnoliopsida; Lamiales; Oleaceae.
AUUGACCAGGUCACAAAUAGAUUUCAUUUUCACUGAACACCAUCGGUUUUCUAAAACAAAUAGCUCAACAUAGUACUAAUCCUAUUUAUCCAAAUAACUAAGCAAUAAGUCCACUAUGGCAAUGAAACUUCAUACUUCUUAGUAUGCGAAUACCAAUAGUAGUCACCAAUUUAGAGAAGUUUUAUUUUACAUAAAAAAUUAUUUUGGCGCUAUAAACGAAAUUUCUCAAUCAGGAUAUCAUUGCAAUGAUAAAAAGCCAUAAUAAGAAGAGCGGAACUUAAAUGUACAAUCCGAAGGGACAAAAUUCAACCAAAUUUUAGCAUAAUCAGACCUAAAUUUUGAAGGCAACUCCGAAACACUUAGCGAUGAAUACAUGUAAUAAACACCCUUAAUAACAAACAUUUAGUGCUGAAUGUGUAAAAUACACCCUCUUGAACAGGGGAGCGGAAUCAGAACAUCUGAGAGUUUUAUGGAGCCAUGGCUUUGCCAAUGGUUCAGAUAAAAUAGAUCCAUUUGGU